RNAcentral lists this non-coding RNA (29 nucleotides) under unclassified sequences. RNAcentral describes it as "L31-Firmicutes ribosomal protein leader". It matches the Rfam family "L31-Firmicutes ribosomal protein leader". The record is from RNAcentral.
CUAUGACAAAAAUGUCAUGGCGGAAGGAG